RNAcentral lists this ribosomal RNA (433 nucleotides) under uncultured bacterium. Its description in RNAcentral is "partial 16S ribosomal RNA". It matches the Rfam family "Bacterial small subunit ribosomal RNA", at positions 29 to 507 of the family's 1533-position model. The record is from RNAcentral.
AACGAACGCUGGCGGCAGGCCUAACACAUGCAAGUCGAGCGCGCCCUUCGGGGUGAGCGGCGGACGGGUGAGUAACGCGUGGGAACGUGCCCUUUUCUACGGAAUAGCCUCGGGAAACUGAGAGUAAUACCGUAUACGCCCUUUGGGGGAAAGAUUUAUCGGAAAAGGAUCGGCCCGCGUUGGAUUAGGUAGUUGGUGGGGUAAUGGCCUACCAAGCCGACGAUCCAUAGCGGGUUUGAGAGGAUGAUCAGCCACACUGGGACUGAGACACGGCCCAGACUCCUACGGGAGGCAGCAGUGGGGAAUCUUAGACAAUGGGGGCAACCCUGAUCUAGCCAUGCCGCGUGAGUGAUGAAGGCCUUAGGGUUGUAAAGCUCUUUCAGCUGGGAAGAUAAUGACGGUACCAGCAGAAGAAGCCCCGGCUAACUCCGUG